ACUGAACGCUGGCUGGCAGGCACUACACGAUGUUAAGUCGAAGGAGAAGUUUCUCCUUCGGCGAAGAUGGACACUGGCGCACGGUGAGUAACGCGUGGGGAUCUACCCCGGGGUGGGGGACAACCGCUGGAAACGGCGGCUAAUACCGCAUACGCCUUAAGAGGGAAAGCUUUAGCGCCCUGGGAUGAACCCGCGUUAGAUUAGGUAGUUGGUGGGGUAAUGGCCUACCAAGCCGACGAUCUAUAGCUGGUCUGAGAGGAUGAUCAGCCACACUGGGACUGAGACACGGCCCAGACUCCUACGGGAGGCAGCAGUGGGGAAUAUUGGACAAUGGGGGCAACCCUGAUCCAGCCAUGCCGCGUGCGUGAAGAAGGCCUUAGGGUUGUCAAGCGCUUUCACUGGUGAAGAUGAUGACGGUAGCCAGAGAAGAACCCCGGCUAACUCCGUGCCAGCAGCCGCGGUAAUACGGAGGGGGCAAGCGUUGUUCGGAAUUACUGGGCGUACAGGGCGCGUAGGCGGAAUAUCAAGUUACGGGUGAAGGGCUGGGCUAACCUAGGACGGCCUCUAAACUGAUAUCUAGAGUCCGGAAGAGGAUGGCGGAAUUCCUAGUGUAGAGGUGAAAUUCGGAGAUUUCAGGCAGAACACGGUGGCGAAGGCGGGCAUCAUGUACGGGUAUGAAGGUGAAGCGCGAAAGAGAUGGGAG
Molecule: ribosomal RNA, 703 nt
Filed under: uncultured bacterium
Lineage: Bacteria
Description: bacterial SSU rRNA
Rfam family: Bacterial small subunit ribosomal RNA
Source: RNAcentral